Molecule: ribosomal RNA, 332 nt
Filed under: uncultured bacterium
Lineage: Bacteria
Description: bacterial SSU rRNA
Rfam family: Bacterial small subunit ribosomal RNA
Source: RNAcentral
CAUGUAGGCGGUCUGCUAAGUUCGGAGUGACAGUCACCAGCUUAACUGGUGAAGUGCUUCGAAAACUGGCGGACUUGAGAGCGAAAGAGGGACAUGGAAUUCCGGGUGGAGCAGUGAAAUGCGUAGAGAUCCGGAGGAACACCAAAGGCGAAGGCAGUGUCCUGGCUCGUUUCUGACGCUGAGAUGCGAAAGCCAGGGGAGCGAACGGGAUUAGAUACCCCGGUAGUCCUGGCCGUAAACGAUGACCACCAGGCGUGGGAGGGAUCGACCCCUUCCGUGCCGUAGUCAACACAUUAAGUGGUCCGCCUGGGGAGUACGGUCGCAAGACUAAA